UUUUUCUUUUUUGCAGUUUGCAACUCCAGUUGCUGUAUGACCUUCUGUUGCUUCUCUGUGAUUUCAGCUUUUGUGGAUAGAAAAGAAAAUAGAAUGUGUAGCCUGCCACAAACCUCCCCUCCUGGCUAAAAGAACUGUCGCUGCACUGUUUCUUGUUGAGAACAUUGACCAUUAGUCAUCAUCAAUAUGUAUUUGGAAAGUGCUACCUGUGAACAGUUUCACACUACUGAAAGGCCUGAAACUAAGAGGCAUUUGUCCUUGAAACCAGUCAUGAAUGGAAGGUGAUGUUGAGAAGUCGUUAUCCAUCACUCUGGAAGAGUUGGUGAUGGGCAGACUGCCUGGCUUCUGGCAUGGCAUUUGGGUACAGGGGAUGGAAAAACAGAAGCUUAUCCAGAAAUCCUGAAAUACAUGGUCUGAUUUUUCCAGAACUGGAACAAGAGAAGCACCUCACCAAAAGAGAGCAAAUGCUGUCAUUUGACCUUUUCAGCCUUUGGAUUCUCAGUGCAUCUGACUCGACCAGGCAGGUCUGGGGAAGAGAAAAAUUAACAGCAGAUGGAUUUAUGAAAAGAGCUCAGUGGCAGAUGGUGCCUACAGAUAUUUACUGACAUGGCCUCGGUCUUACAGGGGGCCUGUGUUGGAGGACAUGUUGCUGUGACAGUGGUGUCUGUAGAUGAUAUGUUGAAGGAGUGCAGAGUCAUGGUCUUACUACUGAAGUAGUAAAAUCCACUGAAGUCAUCCCAUUCCCUUCUCCUUCAGUAGUAGACACCUCCUCAUGUCAUGGAACAGAGCCACGAUACUUGGUAGUUGACUACUUGAUGUUUAUUAAAACUUCCUUCUCCCAAGACAGUGAUUUUUUUUUCCUAUGUAAUUUUAGAAGAAUGCUUGAAAAAGGUGACUUAGAUGAACCCUACAGGCUCAUUAAACAGUGGCAACUGAUAAAUCUUUUCUUUGAUAGUCUCUUGAAUUUUUAAGUCUUGGAGUUGGUAAUGCCCAUACUAUAGAUGUACGGAAAUGAAUAUUUCAGAAGUGGGCCAUACCUUUUAAGUGGGGUGAUUUGAAUAAAUGAUUUCACUUUUCUUCUGCCUUUUAAUUA
This 1093-nucleotide long non-coding RNA is filed under the name Numida meleagris (helmeted guineafowl). RNAcentral describes it as "lncRNA (ENSNMEG00000000854.1)". Lineage: Eukaryota; Metazoa; Chordata; Aves; Galliformes; Numididae. The record is from RNAcentral.